GCCUGAGUAGCUCAGUCGGUUGAGCAUCUGACUUAGGCUCAGGUCAUGAUCUCGCCGUCUGUGAGUUCUAGCCCCGCGUCAGGCU
RNAcentral lists this transfer RNA (85 nucleotides) under Felis catus (domestic cat). It matches the Rfam family "tRNA". From Rfam's summary of the family: Transfer RNA (tRNA) molecules are approximately 80 nucleotides in length. Their secondary structure includes four short double-helical elements and three loops (D, anti-codon, and T loops). Lineage: Eukaryota; Metazoa; Chordata; Mammalia; Carnivora; Felidae. The record is from Rfam by way of RNAcentral.